Molecule: long non-coding RNA, 368 nt
Filed under: Fukomys damarensis (Damara mole-rat)
Lineage: Eukaryota; Metazoa; Chordata; Mammalia; Rodentia; Bathyergidae
Description: lncRNA (ENSFDAG00000023685.1)
Source: RNAcentral
GUGAGAUCAUAAAGAGGGAGGCUCCUGUGAGCAGGGCAGACUGACUAAAAGUGGGAAAGAGUCUCAAGGGCUGGAAGAACCAUGCAGAAUGUUAGCCAUUGGGCCUGGUAUUUCCUUUCUUGGGACACCAAGUCCCGUCUGAUUUAGGCUUUCUUCAGAGCUCCUGGAUGGUUGCAGCUCUUGGAAAGAGACCAUUGGCAUGGAGGAGUUUCUGACAGGGUGCCUGAUGGUAGCAUCUCUCUUCCACUCCUGCCUGAAGCCAAUUCUCACUUGUUUGACCCCAGAGAAGAUCAUGAGGCCAGUGGGCUCACAAACAACAAACUCAGCGAAGGUUUCUCCAAGCAAACUUCUUCCUCCUUGGAAUUUCA